UAUAGAACCACUUGAACCUUUCCUCUUGUUCUUUUAUUCUUCUAAUUUCAUCGUCUGUUAUCUUAAUAAGACAAGUCAUAACAAUAGUCACAAUAAUCUGAAAAAUCAACUUUGAGUUUAUGAUGCUUUAUAUGCUAAUAUAUACAUGUUUAUAUUUGUUGAUUGUUAUGAUUAUAUUUGAUACUAUAAUGUCAUAUAAUUUAUGCUAAUAAUGUAUUUUUUAGCCCUUUUUAUGGCUAGAAUUAACAUAUUCUUAUGCAGAAUGAGUUUGAAAUAAAAAAAUAAGAAAUAUUAACUGCUCAAAGUGCAUCAAUUGUGGAAGGAGGAUGAGAAAGGAAUUUGACUUGUUGAUGAAGCAUGUAUACAAGAAAUCAUCUUCAAAUGAUAAACGCCCAUCUCAAGAAGACAACUAAGCUUAUGAGAAGUAAAGUGAUUCUGACCCUG
RNAcentral lists this long non-coding RNA (444 nucleotides) under Capsicum annuum. Its description in RNAcentral is "long non-coding RNA (CANN_LNC004788)". The record is from RNAcentral. Lineage: Eukaryota; Viridiplantae; Streptophyta; Magnoliopsida; Solanales; Solanaceae.